Molecule: long non-coding RNA, 2330 nt
Filed under: Setaria italica (foxtail millet)
Lineage: Eukaryota; Viridiplantae; Streptophyta; Magnoliopsida; Poales; Poaceae
Description: long non-coding RNA (SITA_LNC002494)
Source: RNAcentral
UGGCCUUUGGAACUGGGGCCAUUUCAGGCAUUGCGUGUCAGAGCAUGCCUCACUACUUCCUGUCUGCAGGUCAAAUGAUGGGGAAACAACAACCCCCUCUGCAGUUGCACACAAUUCACUGACCUCUCAUCCAAGCAUCACCAAUGGACCUGAAGAUGAUGGAUCAUCGCGCUUUUUUCUCCGCGGCGCCUUUUCUCUGCCAUGCCGAUGAAUUCCAUCCACCGCUUUUCGCUUGAGCCCUUGCAUAAUUCUGCGAAUCCUUGUGGCUGAGAUUACUCCUUGUUCAUCUUUCCAGCACAGUUUCAUCGCCUGUAUCAACCACUCUAUCACUAGUCCUAACCCACGGGCUGUCUGAAGAAAUCAUCCAUGGCGGAAAAGGCAGAUGAAUGGCCAUGAUUGCGAGCGUGUCGUUUAGCACAGCAGCAGAUGACAAGGUAGCAACUCCUAUGAGGUGAGCCUGUGAACCUGCAUUGCAUCUAGAGGAAUUCUAUGGUGGUUAUGGCAUAUUCAUUCAGUAGGUCAAUGCUUCAGGGCCGGCCAAUGCUUCGGUGGUGUAAUCUAAAGCUGAAAUCAUGGCUGCAGUUGAAAGAGGAAUGUGACUACUGUGCUGUGGUACCACCCUUCUGCACUUUCUACCAACUGCAGUCAUUUGCUGCAGUUGUUCCAAUUGUUCCUUGCAUCAGAUAAAAACUGCACCAUAAAGAACCUUUCCCUCUAUAGUAACAUGAGCAAGUGCAAUUGUAGAUGGUGUGUUCAUCAGAAGCUGUACUUGGCAUUAUACCGCUAAGGGCAUUGGCAUUUGCAAGUCUCCUGUACAAUCAUACCAUGUCUUAUAGCUUGUGAUAGUGCCUAACAAAUGGCUGCUGGAAUCAGCAUGGCAUGCUCAACAGAUGAUAUGGUAGACUCAGACAAUUGGUAUGUCCCUAUGCAAUCACCUUUCUGUCUGAAUCAGUCAUUUCUGACCUUAUCUUGUUUUGUCGCAUGCGCAUCUCUCCAUGUAGUUCUCUUAAGUCAAAAAGUUCUCUUAAGUUUUCCCUUUUCUUGAACUUUCAGUUGACUGAAUUUCACACCAUUCACAUCAGCACAGGGACUUCAGGAGAACUUGGUAUUCUGAAUUGAAUCAUACGUUCAGUGUACAUUUUGAAAGCAAAGGUAAUCUCAGAAACCGCAUCAUCAUCGCAUAUUCAAGCUACGUUGGCAUCUACCAACUUGCUACAUAAUAGAUAGGAUUGAGCUAUUGUAGCAUAGUUUCAUAUAAUAGCUAGAAAUUGAAGAAAAAAAAAGCAAGACAAUUUCUGCUUGUAACUAACAGAAUAUGUGCAAAUUCAGAAAGGGGGUAGGGCCUAAAAAGUUCCAUGUUCCAACUAGUAUACAACACAUGCUUGAGCACCAUCCUCUGUAAAGGAGUGUUAUGUGUACUCGACAUUCAAGUAUUCCACAGGUAUGCUUGAGCUCAAUGAAAAUGGAAGCAGAAAAAAAUGCAUAAUUUUUUACCAUUUCCAUAUACAUAUUAAUGAAUGUAAGUAAUGAAAGAAUGAUAAUCUGCUAGUGAAACCCAGUAUUUUCCAAGUAGUUACUCUAAUAUUCCUCUAGUUCAGGAUUACAGAUACGGUACUCCGUAAAUCAGGAGAACACGACAAAGAGAAGAGAGGCUAGAGAUAUUCAUAUCAUACUUCAUCAGAGGACAUCUUCAUAUAAGGAUACUAACACUGAAACCACUCUUUCUUUAAAUGGCUACUAAUACCGAAAUCACUAAUAUAGCUGACUUCCAGUAGCGGCAUAACUUAUAUAAGCAAUGCAUCAUUGCUUUAUUCACUUCGGUGUUGAGCCUUCACCCAACUUGGAUGGCGUCCUAGGGCUGCUUCUCCCUCCCAGAGGGCUGCGCUCAUGCCUGAGCUCAGUGAGGCGAGGGCUGUAUGCUUUUUCAGAUAUGGACGGGCUGCGGAUGUUUUUCAGUUCUGCCACAGGUGUGCCACCGGAGCUAGUGAUCUUUGGGCUGUUCAGGCGCUUGAUCUCGCCCCGGCUUCUUGUGAACAUGUCGUCUAGGAUCUCUGCACUCUGGGCACGUCCCAAUGCAACAUCGAUAUCUUGCUGAAAUACAUGGCAUUUGAGUGUAAGGAAAAAGCAACAUGACAACAAAUGUCCUAGUCUAAAAAUACCAUGUUGAUGAGCAAGAUUAAAGUAUUUGUCAGGAUAUAUUAAAUCUUUCUGAACUUACCGCAGCAAGGCUGAAUGGUAUUGCUGGUGAUUCCUCAUACUCUGCUGCAUCCAGGUCAGUUAGAUGUGCACCUUUGAAGAGCUUGGGAAGGAUGUACUGCCUGACUGGAACC